AUUUAUCUCAUGCUCAGGUUAGAUGUCCACUUAGGUCUCUUUGUUCUUUCUCCAGACACCUGUGCCGCACAGCCAACAAGUGUGUCUGAUGCUGGUGUGGCUAUUGUCCAUCCUUCCAGAGAAGCUCCAUGGGAGCUGAGCCCAUCUGACUGCUGCUCUGUGCCUGGCUGAGCAGCAGUGCUGGGGUCUGUGAUGCCUUCAGACAUGUCCCAAGUGCAACGUGAUCAGUGCACGUCCGUUUCUGAUGGUGAAGCAGCUCUUCUGCAUAAAGAGGACACGGUGUUUUCAGUGGGCAGGAGAAAGCCCGCCCAGAGCUGCUCCAUCUAGAAGAGCAUGGAACAGACUUGAGAUACCACUUGAGAACUGGGCAGAGAUGGGAAGUAAGGCAUGCGCAGAUGGCACUGGGGAAACAAAUCUGCCCCAGGAGAGCCGAGCAGCCCUGGAUCCAGAACCCUCUGGAAGCAUAUCUGUUGUUGGGGAAUGUCAGCCGUCACCUGGAUGUGAACCUGACCUGGCUGUGAGGGUGGCCCCAUGAAGAGUGGGGGCAAUGUUGGAGGGACAGAGAUGUUGAGACCUCCCCUCCCACCUGAACCCUCCUAUAAUUUUGCAAACCUGUGAGCAGCCUGCAUCUUCCCCAAAGGAUGGAGAAGCUUCCACUUGAGCAGGCCAGGAAAUGAAAUCUAAGCAGUAAAUAUGGCCCUAAAAUUAUCAUGGAAAUGAGCGGUGGGAACAAAGUGAUUGUGUUAACAGACUGGUUUAAGCACUGAAAUAGAAGCGUAAUUUCUGUCAGAAAGGACAAAUCUUUCCUGCAGAGUUAAUAGUGCUAUAUGAAGUUGUUCUUAAUAGUUGUUUAUUUUAUUUCACAGUGUUCAAAUAAGCCUCUGUAAAUCUAAAAUUAUCUCUGUCUAAUGAAUACUUUCAGAAUACUCAUGCAUAAUCUGUGUGCAUGGGUGUGUUUGUGUGUGCUGACGACACUUCAGGUAUACAUAGGGGACUCCUCAGUUUCUUUGGAAAAUGUCUAUUCACUAAGAAAUCUGAAAUCUUUUUAGUUCACAGAAGUGAACAAGGAUGAACGAGUCACACCAACAAGCAGCACAGCAUGGCUGGUAUGACACCUUGCUAUGCUGCACUUUGUGAGAAGCCUUUUGAGUCAGUUAAGCAUGAUUUUCCUUUCAGAAGUCCAUGGUGACUAUUUAUGAUCAUCUUCCUGUCCUUCAUGUUUCUGGAAAUGAUUUCCAGGAUCAGCUGAGGUGAGGCUACCCGCCUUAUCAUUCCUCAUAUCUUCCUUUUUCCUUCCCAAAGACAGAGGCAGCACUUGCUGUCUUCUAGUCUUCAGGAACAAUUCCCAGUUGCCAUGAUAGCGGAAGUACUGAAGAUGGCUGGGGGGGUGUGAAUUCCAAAGAACUGGAAAGCACUGAGCAGGCAAAAGCUCUGAACUUGAUGUCUGAGCACUCUGCAGCUCUUUAAUGGUAUGUCAAAUUUAAGCCAAAAAAAUAAUGGCACUGCUGGAAUCUUUCAAUUUUGUGUUGUGAUGC
Numida meleagris (helmeted guineafowl) is the source of this 1535-nucleotide long non-coding RNA. Lineage: Eukaryota; Metazoa; Chordata; Aves; Galliformes; Numididae. The record is from Ensembl.